Long non-coding RNA from Glycine soja, 3856 nucleotides. RefSeq lists it as uncharacterized. The record is from RefSeq and is a predicted model, not a curated record. The transcript has 3 exons. NCBI's taxonomy places the organism in Eukaryota, Viridiplantae, Streptophyta, Magnoliopsida, Fabales, Fabaceae.
UUCCACAAUUUUCAGCACCUUCUCCACCGCCGUUGCGCCCAAAUGCGCCUUCAUCAAUAGCCUCUUCAUCGCCUUCACCGCUUUGAGGUUCACCAGCUUUAGUUUGUUGAUUGAAGACAACAACUUCCAACGAAGCUACGUAAGUGUUAGUAAAAUAUUUUAUUUCUCUCUCUCUCUCUUCCUUCUAAACGCCGCUUCCGCAUCUCUCUUCCUUUUCUAACUAUAGAUUUUAUUUUUCUCUCUGUUUCUUCCUUUUUAUUUUAUGCUUUUUUCUUCGAUGUGACUGGCGUUUGUUUUGUGUGUUUUUCAUGUGCGUUGAACCCUCUGCGUUCAUUAAUUUUGUUUUGUGUAUUCGGAUCGAGUUGUUUCACGUUCGGUUGCGGGGAUCUUCGGUUUAGGUUUGUUUAGGGAUUUUUUGUUUUUUUGUUUAUGUUGUUGAUAGGUUUUUCGUUGGAUUUGUUGUGUUAUGUGAGAUUGAUGGAUUUUUUUUUAAUUUAUAUUCCUUCAAUGUUUUUUCUUUUUUGGAAAAAUGAAUAUUUAUUUAUGGACGAAAUAGAUUUGCGAUUUUUGUCUCUUAAAUUCAUGUUUGAAUGGUGGUGUGACUUUCCUAUUUGGUUCUAUUUUUAUGAAGCCUGACUGCAAUUUUGCUUCUGAAAAAUUAAUCAGGAAAUAUGUUAUUGUUACUUUUUAUACGCAUAUCUAAUAUAUCUUCUUUUUUUUUUUAAUCAUGGUGGAAUAAGCUUCAAGGAUCUCUUCCUGGUGGUGGAAGUUCAAAUUUUUCUUCAAAUAUGCAUGGGAUGUGAGUAAAAUUUUCUUAAAUGAAUUAGUGUAAUUUGUUUACUAAUUCAUCAUCAUCAUCAUUGAUGUAGUCUUUUCUCAUCUGAUUGAUAAAACUCUUCUUUCUCUAUGACUACAGUACAUGCUAUAAAGUGUAGGCCUGUAGGAUUCUUAUAUCUAUGGUAGAUUACCAUGGUGAGAUGGGUUAGUUUAUAGGCUUCAUUUUGGUCUACAUACAAUUGGUAGGAUUCAAAUUUCUGUUUUCUUCCAAUGUCAUUUACCAGUUUCAUUUGUGUCUACUAAAGCAAACAAGACAUACUUUCUUGCAUUAUCUUCUAUGUUUAAUAUAAGGGAAUACAGUAAUUUUUGCAUGUGAGACAUGUGAUAUGAUAAUUUAUCAUUGCUACAAUUGUCAAAUUUUCAUUGAGCUCAUGAAGCAAGUCAUUGGGUAUAAGGAUAUACAUAGUUAACAAGACUUAAAUCACCUUUGACAUUAAAAUUGUUUUAUCUGGAAAGCAUUGUCAAGCUCACCCAUUAAAAUAGUAGUGAAUAUCUGUUCUAGGAUGUUAUUAUAAUCGUAACUUUUUAUUGGAGGUUGUCCAAUUUAAUAACAAAUUUGGUAAUUUUGGAGAGGUGGAAAGAAAUGGCUUCUGCUUUGGUUCAUUAUGUAUGAACCCAGAAUUGUCAGCAUUGAAGAGAAGAAAACUCAAGAAGAAUUCAUUAGCCAACUAUUUGAUCCAACAUCUGGACUAUUAACUCAGGACACGAUGUACAGAAACAGGAAAGGACAUGCCAUUAUUGCACCAGUGGGUCAGUUGCUAGAACGAAAGGCAAACGAUUUCAAAAUAUGAUCCAUUUCUCCAACCGAAAGGCUUAGCCGGGACUUCACCGGAAACAGAAACUUUGUCAGAAUGUGGAAGCCACGUGUCGUUCCCAGUGUUCUCUCUUUGCUUCUUCUUCUUCACUCGUUGCUCGCUAUGGUCUCUGCACAAGGCAUUAACAGAACCACUUGGAACACUCUCACUGGUUCGUGUCUCGUUUCAUUCUUCUUUCUCUUCCUUCUGUUUCACACUUCUUCAUAUGUUGCCGACAAAAUGCACCAAAAAAUAAAUAAUAAGAGGAAUUGUUCGAAGCUUGACUUAGCUUGUUUAGUGUUCCUUUGUUCAUCUUUGUCGAGCUGGUGCUUUGAAAAUUAUGUAUUUAUUUAUAUUUGAUGUUUUUAGAAUUUGAGUGAGUAGGAAAGUGAGAAUUUUAGAGUUGGAGCAGGUAAUCAACUCGUUGAAGUUGGUGUGGUGUAGCUGAGUUGUUAUCAGAAUUUUGAAAAUAUGUUUUUGUAUGCUCUAGCCUAUAGAUGGAAACUAAGAACCAAAGCGUCUAGUUCAGUUGGUUGAGCAAAGUGCAUGAGUCGUUAUAAAUCCCCUGGUCCUAUAUUUCAUUCCCAAGGAUAAAAAAAUGGAAACUAAGAAAGCAUGUAGCAAGUGGAAAUACAAGAUAUUCAAUACUUUUAGUAUAGCCAAGCUUUUUUGGUACAAGACCGUUGGUAUCUUCUAGAGCAUACUUUUUUGUGAAAUGGAAUGUUUGGAGUGAAUAGGCAAUUUAGUCCCUGAGAUUGUAACCACUUUGCAUAUUAGUCCCUGACUUAAAUUUUAAUUCAUAAUAGUCCCUAACUUUACAUAAGUUUUGCAAAAUAGUCUCUGUCGUUAAAUUCUCAGGUGACGGCGUUAGUGAGGUGUAUAGGUGGCAAUUCAGUGCCACGUAGAUUGUCCAACGUGGCACUGAGGUCUGCAUCAAUAAAUUCUCUCUCACACGCAAGGUUGCUUCUUCUUCCCCAAAAAAAUUAGGGUUUACAAAGCUGCUGGUUGCUUCUUCUUCUUCUUCUUCUUCUUCUUCUUCCCACGUUGAGUUGCUUCUUCUUCUUCUACUCUGAGGCUCAGUCGCUGCUGCUUGUUCACUUGAUUUGUCCAUGUCUGCAAGUGGCAGUUAUUGUGCAUUUUCUGGUAGUUUCAUUCGGCAAUGCCACCAUGGAAGACGUGCAACUAUUCAAACUGCAAGAACAAGGAGGCACCCAGGAAGGUUAUUCUAUACUUGUGCAUUACCCCAAACAGACCCAGAUAACUGUCAAUUUUUUCAAUGGGUUGAAGAAGAAAACCAACUUUCUAAUUCGUCUUCUGUCUCAAGAGAAACAAUGGUAGUGGCUGAUUUGAGGCUACAAAUUGAAGCUUUGUAGAAGAAAAUGAGAAAUUUAACAAACAUUGUGUUGUUAGGUUUUUCAUUUUUAAUUGUAAUGUUAGUUUUAGGGGGAAUGUAUUUUAGGUAAAAUGUGUAAUAGCAGCUUUUGAAAUUGUAAUUGUUGUUUUGCUGAAGAAUUUGUAGUAGGAAGUAGCUUUUGUAGUGUAAUAGCAGCUUUUGUUGCUACUGUCAAUUACCCAUUUCAAUUAAAUAUAAUUUGUUGGUGAAAUUUGUUGCUGAAAUUUGCAGUUUAUUAAAUAUAAUUUAAUAAAAGAAAGAGAAUUAGGUAAUAAGAAGCAGCUCAUAAUGUAUGUUGGGAUGGAUUGUACUACUCCAACUCCAAAUCCAACACAGUGUAUAAUUUAUAAAAGAAAGAGAAGAAACAUGAUAUCAUUUCGAAGGGACAGCUUGAAAUAAAAGAAAGAGAAUUAGGUGAUGGCACAAGAAAGAGAAGUUUAUUAAAUAUAAUUUGUUGUUAUAUAACUUUUUGAAGUUAUUGAAGUAGCACUAAACUAGGUGGUCCUACUCCAAUUCCAAAUCCAACACAGUGUAUAAUUUAUAAAAGAAAGAGAAGAAACAUGACAUUAAAUCAAUAUUUCACAUAAUAUUUGACAUCCCAAAACAUGGUAGUUAGAAGCAAUUGUUCAGUAAGCCAUAAUGUUUACAUCAUUUCACAUGCCAGUGAAGCUUUCAAAAUAUACAACUACACAUCCUAAUAUCAAAAUGCAAUAAAAAAUGCUUCUUCAGUUUUCUUCAUCAGCAACCUUCAAACUCAGCAACCUUCAAAAUGCAACAAAAAAUGGGUCUUCAGCAACCAACCUUCAGCAAGCUUCAAAAUGCAACAAAAAAU